CAUAAAUUCUAAACUAAUUCAUUAUAAACAAAUUUAUACAAAAACUUAUCUUUUGACAUCAAAGAGAGAAAAAAAUAUGAGUAAAUUUCUCAAGUUUAUUUAUGUUAUUAUCAUUUUGAGUUUCCUAUUUUAUGUUGAAAGAGGUGUAAGCUCCGCAUCUCCUUUUUAUUGCGUUGAUGACGAUUAUUUUUGUUUUGGUUUGUGUCUUCCUCCUAUGAUAGAUCAUUGUACUCUUCGUGGUCAAUGUAUAUGUAUAACCAUUUCAACUGAAGUUGAAAGUUAAUUAUAUUUGUUUACCAAGUGUAUGAUUUUAUUUACAAAUCAUAAUAAUGUCGCUCCUAUGAUUACUUUUACAAAAAAUUAUUAAAUGUUACGUUAACAUUAUUUUUGGAACAAUUAAUUGUUUGUCUCUAAUCUGUUGCUUAGACUUUCAAACACAAAUCCAUGAAAAGGUCACGUUCUAUCCAACCUUGUCAUAGAUUAUGGCAUGAAGCUAAUGAUAUGAGAAUUAUUUCUACAUUUUACAUUUUAAUAAUUUGUAUUGGAGUGUUGUAGAUGUUUAUUGUUUUACAAGGACAAACAUAGUUUGAAUAUAAGUGAAAUGCUAAAUAUACAGAAAAAAUUUCAUACGUUCAUUAUUCUCAUGACUUGUUAUCUUGCAAUACUAUGAUGUUGUUGAUUUUGGAUAUUUGUUGUCUAUCAUGAAAGGUUAUAAAAGAGAUUAAAGGUAAUGAAAAGUUGAUAAAAUAUAUUUAUGUUAGAUUUUUUAUUGAGUGAUAUUAAGGGACAAACAUGACAAAUGAAUGUAUGUAAAAGACAAAAUCAUUUCUUGCAUCUCGAUUGGCUCUAAAAAAAUCCAUUAUAAAUAAAUUGAUAUAAACAUUUAUCUUUUUAACAUCAAAAGGAGAAAAAAAAAUAUGAUUAAGUUUCUCAAAUUUUUUUAUGCUACGAUCAUCUUGAUUUCCAUAUUUUUUGUUGUAAGGGAUGAAAGCUCUGAUUAUUGAACUAGAGGAAGUGAGAAGAUCCGCAUCAUCACACAAAGCAUCAAUCCUUGUCCAUUGAAAAUAUUUCCACCAGCUAAUCUUAGUGAAAACACAUUUCAAGAAUAAAUGCAUGCAAGUCUUGGUUUGUCUAAAACACAAAACAUAGGAUAGGAGGAACUAAAUCAAAUGGAUUUUUAUUUAUGUUCUCAACCAUAUGGAGAAACGAUUAUGGUAAAAUCAAAAUCUAGUUGCAAGAGUCGAUGCCGGUAAAAGAAAAAAAUCAAAUCAAAUGGAUUUUAGGAAAGAAGAGUUCCGGUAAUGGUAAUGGAAAUGCUCACCGUUGGGAAUGUUUCCACAAGGAGGUGAACAAAUGAAAGAGUGAUUGAGUUUUAUUUUAUAUAAAAGGUAAAUUUGGUACUUUUAUGUCAAAUGUUGGGGUGAGGGUAUAUAUGUAGGGGUACAAGGUAUA
Medicago truncatula (barrel medic) is the source of this 1452-nucleotide long non-coding RNA. RefSeq lists it as uncharacterized. The transcript has 3 exons. The record is from RefSeq and is a predicted model, not a curated record. NCBI's taxonomy places the organism in Eukaryota, Viridiplantae, Streptophyta, Magnoliopsida, Fabales, Fabaceae.